This 441-nucleotide ribosomal RNA is filed under the name uncultured soil bacterium. RNAcentral's name for it is "bacterial SSU rRNA". It matches the Rfam family "Bacterial small subunit ribosomal RNA", at positions 26 to 518 of the family's 1533-position model. The record is from RNAcentral.
AGAACGAACGCUGGCGGCAUGCCUAAUACAUGCAAGUCGAACGAACUCUUCGGAGUUAGUGGCGCACGGGUGCGUAACGCGUGGGAAUCUGCCCCUUGGUUCGGAAUAACAGUUGGAAACGACUGCUAAUACCGGAUGAUGACGAAAGUCCAAAGAUUUAUCGCCAAGGGAUGAGCCCGCGUAGGAUUAGCUAGUUGGUGAGGUAAAGGCUCACCAAGGCAACGAUCCUUAGCUGGUCUGAGAGGAUGACCAGCCACAUUGGGACUGAGACACGGCCCAAACUCCUACGGGAGGCAGCAGUGGGGAAUCUGCGCAAUGGGCGAAAGCCUGACGCAGCCAUGCCGCGUGAAUGAUGAAGUCUAGGAUUGUAAAUUCUUUCACGGGACAUAAUGACGGUACCCGGAGAAGAAGCCCGGACUAACUUCGUGCCCAGCAAGCCGC